This 219-nucleotide ribosomal RNA is filed under the name uncultured Stichotrichia. RNAcentral describes it as "partial Bacterial large subunit ribosomal RNA". It matches the Rfam family "Bacterial large subunit ribosomal RNA", at positions 5 to 221 of the family's 2925-position model. Lineage: Eukaryota; Ciliophora; Spirotrichea. The record is from RNAcentral.
AAGCUACUAAGGGCGCACGGUGGAUGCCUUGGCACUAGAAGCCGAUGAAGGACGUUACUAACGACGAUAUGCUUUGGGUAGCUGUAAGUAAGCGUUGAUCCAGAGAUUUCCGAAUGAGGGAACCCAGCAUGAGUUAUGUCAUGUUAUCGACAUGUGAAUUCAUAGCAUGUCAGAAGGCAGACCCGGAGAACUGAAACAUCUUAGUACCCGGAGGAAGAG